UACAGAGGUGGCAAGCGUUGUUCGGAAUUACUGGGCGUAAAGGGCGCGUAGGCGGUCUUGCAAGUCCUGUGUGAAAUCCCUCGGCUCAACUGAGGAACUGCACAGGAAACUGCUUGGCUUGAGUUCGGGAGAGGGAAGCGGAAUUCCGGGUGUAGCGGUGAAAUGCGUAGAUAUCGGAAGGAACAUCAGUGGCGAAGGCGACUUCCUGGACCAAUACUGACGCUCAGGUGCGAAAGCGUGGGGAGCAAACAGG
Molecule: ribosomal RNA, 253 nt
Filed under: uncultured bacterium
Lineage: Bacteria
Description: partial 16S ribosomal RNA
Rfam family: Bacterial small subunit ribosomal RNA
Source: RNAcentral